This is a long non-coding RNA of Homo sapiens (human), 1659 nucleotides long. Ensembl annotates it as family with sequence similarity 27 member C. Its record names the gene FAM27C. NCBI's taxonomy places the organism in Eukaryota, Metazoa, Chordata, Mammalia, Primates, Hominidae. The record is from Ensembl.
GAGCAGGAGCCCUCGGUGGCAGUGCUUGGGUGUCGAGGCUCUGAGGCUCCGGCCUCACCUCUCCACGGGGUCGAAGGGAACGUCUCCGGAUGCCAGGAGUCGCAAAGGGCCGACCAUGAUGAUGAAACCCCAGGCAGAGACGGGGGAAGCAGCACGGGAUCCCAGCCUCAGGCCUGCACGGACGGUGUUGGUUGGGAGACGAGGUCUCACUAUAUUGACCAGGCUGGUCUUGAACUCCUGGCCUUAAGCGAUCCUCCUGCCUUGGCCUCCCAAAGUGCUGGAGUUACAGAUGUGAGCCUCUGUGCUCAGUCCAUCCUUGGCUGUUCAAGUGUAGAGAAAUUGCCACUCCCUCUCCAGCCCUCAGCAACCACCACCUCGAUCAGUCACUAGCUAUCAACAUUGAGACAAGACCAUCCAGCAGCAAAAUGAUGAUGACUUACUGAAGGCCCAGAUGAUGGUUAGCAGUUUUUGGCAAUCACGUAUUUUCAAAGGACACGGCUUCCCCUGAACGCGGAUCCUAGAGGCCAGGCAGAAGCAGCAUGGGUUUCCACUCACACGGUAGGCGGCUGUGCAAUUUCGUCUGGAGUCCCCAGACCCCUCCUCAUCCUUCCCAGGGUUGCUCUGAGGCCAUUCCUUGUCAUCUAGGAGGGGUCUACAUAAAAGCAUUUAUAAACACCUCCAAAUGGGAGCCAGGCGUGCCCACCUUUGGAGCACUUUUCUCUACUGCAAAUUUAUCUACUGCUCGUGAAAUCUCUGGAUUUAACUCUGAUGAAAGACUGGAGGCUGAAGGAGAACUUCAAUAUCAUAUAUUUUAAAGGUUGAUUCACAGUUUGGAGCAAGAAUUAAAGAACCACGAACUUCAAGGUAAAACGGGCAACGGCGUUGGGGCAAGCCUCUCUGCAUCUGCGUGUCCAGCCUCUCCUGCGUGCCAGAAGUUCCCAGGCAGGAGUGUGGUGGGACAUCCGGCUGGGGUAAGGACAGGCACCCUCCCACUGUGUCAGGGCCCAGAGAGUGGGUGGAGAAGCUCUGCAAGAGACCUGUGCAAGGGCGCCUUGCAGGAGCCUGCAGUCCCCACAGGUGUGUUUGUGGAUAACACUUGGGGAGCCCUGGCCUUUUGGGGUCACGGAGGGCUUGGCCUCUCACCUCAGAGCUGCAGAGAAGCCGCUUCUACAUCAGGACAUCAGAAGCUGGAACAGGAUGGCCGGCGAGGGGCCUCUUGUUGGGGUCACAGAGAUGGGUCGCAGAGAUGGCCCGUGUGGAAGGUUGGAUUCUCACCCCACCUCUGCCCCUAGAUGUCCUGGUGACCCUCCCCUCUGUAGUCUUGGUUUUUUGCAAAACAGUUAUGACCUCCUGCCAUACUGGGUACUUUGCUUAUGUAUUGUGUUUACUCUUUACUGUGUGUCUCUCCUGCUAAGGUCUACGAAGAAGGGUCUUUGUGGGUGGGGUUCUUAGAGGCAUCCCAAGUACCAGAAGCAGUCCCUGGACUAAGGGGCUCAAUAAAUAUUUUUUAUUUAUUAUUUUUUCUUUUUGAGAUGGAGUCUCGCUCUCUUGACCAGGCUGGAGUACAGUGGCACAAUCUUGGCUCACUGCAGCCUUCGCCUCCUGGGUUCAAGUGAUUUCCGGCUAAUUUUUGUAUUUUUAGUAGUGACGGGGUAUCAC